This 264-nucleotide ribosomal RNA is filed under the name uncultured bacterium. RNAcentral describes it as "partial 16S ribosomal RNA". It matches the Rfam family "Bacterial small subunit ribosomal RNA", at positions 793 to 1055 of the family's 1533-position model. The record is from RNAcentral.
GUCCACGCCAUAAACGAUGAGUGCUAGGCGCCGGAGGAUUGACCCCGUCGGUGCCGAAGCUAACGCGUUAAGCACUCCGCCUGGGGAGUACGGUCGCAAGACUAAAACUCAAAGGAAUUGACGGGGGCCCGCACAAGCGGUGGAGCAUGUGGUUUAAUUCGACGCUACGCGCAGAACCUUACCUGGGUUAAAUCCACCAGAACCUGGCCCAAAAGCCGGGGUGCCCUUCGGGGAAUUGGUGCGAAGGUGCUGCAUGGCUGUCGU